This 497-nucleotide ribosomal RNA is filed under the name uncultured bacterium. RNAcentral describes it as "partial 16S ribosomal RNA". It matches the Rfam family "Bacterial small subunit ribosomal RNA", at positions 28 to 507 of the family's 1533-position model. The record is from RNAcentral.
GGGGGGGGGGGGGGGGGGGGGGGGUGCGGGGGGGGCGGGCGGGGGGCGGGGGAGCUUGCUCCUCUGGCGUUAGCGGCGGCCGGGUGAGUGACCCGUGGAUAACCUACCUAUAAGGCUGGGAUCACUUGGGGCACCGGGCUCUAAUACGUGAUACUAUAUUGAACCUCAUUGUUCAAUCGUGAAAUCCGGCUUGGCUGUCCCUUCUACAUUGAUCCGACCCGCAUUAGCUAGUUGGUAAGGUAACGGCUUACUCAGGCAACGAUGCGUACCCUACCUGAGAGGGUGAUCGGCCACACUGGAACGGAGACACGGUCCCGACUCCUAGGGGAGGCAGCAGUAGGGAAUCUUCCGCAAUGGGCGAAAGCCUGACGGAGCAACGCCGCGUGAGUGAUGAAGGUCUUCGGAUCGUAAAACUCGGUUAUUAGGGAAGAACAAAUGUGUAAGUAACUAUGCACGUCUUGACGGUACCUAAUCAGAAAGCCACGGCUAACUACGUG